GGAAGGAUCAUUAACACGUAUCCAACGUUAAACCCCCCGUGCACACAGCGACCUGCUCCCCUCAAUUUCGGUCUUUUGGCAAUCCCUGGUAAAUCAUCGCCGAACAGUUUUGAUUCAAGGACAUCCAAAGGGCCGGGGUAGGGUAUUAAAGUAGUAGUCCAUGCAAAGCAACCUGGUUUCUUUGAAGCAGAAAGUGUGAUGGCGUGAGCCGGAGAACGGACCGAGUGGUAGUUCAAAGGUGCCUUCUGUCGCGCACUGUGGAAAGGAAGACGCUUUACGAAUCACUGUCCAACACGGUCAGUGACCGGGUUCCUGGUCCUAGACCCCAUAUUCACCACCACAGUCGCAGACGAGGUAGGGAUACGUCCCUACCACCAAAUAAAUACUUGAACAACUGUUAACAAUGGAUAUCUUGGUUCUCGCAACGAUGAAGAACGCAGCGAAAUGCGAUACGUAAUGCGAAUUGCAGAAUUCAGUGAAUCAUCGAAUCUUUGAACGCAAAUUGCGCUCUCGGGUUACCCCCAAGAGCACACCUCUCUGAGUGUCGGUUAAACCAAAUGCCACCAAUUUAUUGGAGGGCGACAGACUGAGGGUAAGGGGUCUCGGCUUCUUUCCUUUGAAAACUCAGCCGCACAAUUGUGUGUGUCGGUGGCAAGUUGCUUUCACUUAAUUGUGAAUACAAUCCACUGACCCUAUGUUGUGUAGCCUCAAGAAACAAAUGUACAAAGAAGUGAAACCUAAGGGCUGGUAACAACUUUAGGCGAGCAACUUUGGACAUCUAUGAAUUAGACCUCAGAUGAAGUGGGAAGACCCCCUGAAUUUAAGCAUAUUAUUAAGGGGAGGAAAAGAAACUAACAAGGAUUCCCCUAGUAACGGCGAGUGAAGCGGGAAGAGCUCAAAUUUAAAAUCCGCCGGUCUAACAGCCUGUGGAGUUGUAAUCUAGAGAGGCUCUCUCAGUGCCAGCCUGGUUAUAAGUCCCUUGAAACGGGGCAUCAAAGAGGGUGAGAAUCCCGUAUUUGAGCCGGAGCUAAGUACGUACGAGGAGCUUUCCAAGAGUCGCGUUGCUUGGGAGUGCAGCGCUAAAUGGGUGGUAAAGUUCAUCUAAAGCUAAAUACUGGCGAGAGACCGAUAGCGAACAAGUACCGUGAGGGAAAGAUGAAAAGAACUUUGAAAAGAGAGUUAAAAAGUACUUGAAAUUGUUAACAGGGAAGGGGAGUCAACCAGUCAUUUCUAAGCUUCAUUCGCCUUUCUUUCGGGAGGGGUUACUUGAGGCUAAGAAGGGUCUGCAUCACUUAGUGGUCUGGCAGAAACUGUGUGAGUUGGUGCGUUUCCUCGGAUUCGUUUAACUUGUACGAUCUACCUUGUCGCUGGGUGAGGAAUCAAAAAACCGCCACCUUCGGGUGUUGGAUCUCUAGAGCCUGUUUGCCCUAGCGCGUGAGAGAACAAAGUUCUGUCUGUGCGAAAGGUGAAUACUGCUCCGGAUGAAUCUAAUGCUGUGUUUCGCGAUGCGGACGAAAUGGUUGUCUUCCACCCGUCUUGAAACACGGACCAAGGAGUCUAACAUAUAUGCGAGUAUUUGGGUGACAAACCCUGAUGCGUAAUGAAAGUAAAGAGCUGCAAAGCUUGAGGUAGGAAUCUCACCCUCGGGUGGGAGGCACUAUCGACCGAUCGUUCGCUUGCGAAAGAUUUGAGUAAUAGCAUAUCUGUUGGGACCCGAAAGAUGGUGAUCUAUGCCUGAACAGGGUGAAGCCAGGGGAAACUCUGGUGGAAGCUCGUAGCGAUACUGACGUGCAAAUCGUUCGUCUGAUUUGGGUAUAGGGGCGAAAGACUAAUCGAACCAUCUAGUAGCUGGUUCCCUC
Molecule: unclassified non-coding RNA, 1859 nt
Filed under: uncultured fungus
Lineage: Eukaryota; Fungi
Description: sequence contains 18S rRNA gene, ITS1, 5.8S rRNA gene, ITS2, 28S rRNA gene
Rfam family: Eukaryotic large subunit ribosomal RNA (bases 788-1859)
Source: RNAcentral